UCCUAGCCUCGAUUGGAGCAAUUGUCUGAGCUCAUUUUUGAGAUUUGGCUGCGGCAGCUUCGCUGCCGCAGCCAAAUCUCAAAAAUAGCGAGUGCGGAAAGCGAGAAAAAGC
Molecule: unclassified non-coding RNA, 112 nt
Filed under: Chryseobacterium gambrini
Lineage: Bacteria; Pseudomonadati; Bacteroidota; Flavobacteriia; Flavobacteriales; Weeksellaceae
Description: Flavo-1 RNA
Source: RNAcentral